Molecule: ribosomal RNA, 498 nt
Filed under: uncultured bacterium
Lineage: Bacteria
Description: bacterial SSU rRNA
Rfam family: Bacterial small subunit ribosomal RNA
Source: RNAcentral
UGAACGCUGGCGGCGUGCCUAACACAUGCAAGUUGAGCGGUAAGGCCCCUUCGGGGGUACACGAGCAGCGAACGGGUGAGUAUCGCGUGGGUAAUCUACCUUGAGGUGGGGGAUAGCCUCGGGAAACCGAGGGUAAUACCGCAUGAGUCCUCAAUGACAUAAGUCGAUGAGGGGAAAGGCGGGGCUCCUUCGGGACCUGUCGCCUCUAGAUGAGCCCGCGUUCGAUUAGCUAGUUGGUGGGGUAAUGGCCUACCAAGGCAACGAUCGAUAGCCGGCCUGAGAGGGUGAACGGCCACAUUGGGACUGAGACACGGACCAGACUCCUACGGGAGGCAGCAGUGGGGAAUUUUGGGCAAUGGGGGAAACCCUGACCCAGCGACGCCGCGUGGAGGAUGACGGCCUUCGGGUUGUAAACUCCUGUCAGGUGGGAAGAAAAGCCAGUCGGAUAAUACCCGGCAGGAAUUGACGGUACCACCAAAGGAAGCCCCGGCUAACUCC